AUGCAGAAUGAUCAUAUUUCCCAGCAGCAGCUUGACGAUAAGGUGCUGGAGCUAGAGCAGGAGAUAGAGCAGGAGCUAGAGCGGGGGUGGAAACAGAAGAGAGAGCAGAAGGCCACAACAGCAGUGCUUCAACAAGUGGGAUGCGCCGUGCUACCCCCCUGGACAUUCAGUGUGGCCCCAUCAAAACAAUCUGUCACCGAGGAAAUACUUCAACAAGCCAGACGGACCAUGUGUCCUUGGGUAUGCAUCUUUGCCCCCUGUACAGCUGGGUCGUCACAACUACCAACCUCUGUGGCGCAGCCACCACCAUCAAAACAGCAGUUGACUUCUAGCAGUGAGUUUGGACCUCAUGAGGCACCCCAGCCAUGCUUCAACAAUUGCAGUGGAGCCAGCUACCAUGGGUAUUAA
Molecule: ribosomal RNA, 408 nt
Filed under: Triticum aestivum (bread wheat)
Lineage: Eukaryota; Viridiplantae; Streptophyta; Magnoliopsida; Poales; Poaceae
Description: partial small subunit ribosomal RNA
Source: RNAcentral